AUUGUGUAAGGAAGAACUGAUAUAUCUCAUGUCUUGUGUUAUGAUGUAUUGUGUAAGGAAGAACUGAUAUAUCUCAUGUCUUGUGUUAUGAUGUUUGCAAUAUAUUUAGAAAUCCAAAGUGAUAUUUGUGUAGAGUACAGGAGAAGUGCAUGUGAAGUAUAAUGAAACGCAUUACAAUUCAUAUAAUUAUGAAGUUUGGAGACAGCAACCAAGUGACGUAAAAAUGUAAUGACAUAUAUUAAGUUUUUCUGAGUUGCUCUGUGUAGUGUGUAAUGACAUAUUUUAUGUUUUUUUAGUUGCUCUGUGUAGUGUGUAAUGACAUAUUUUAUGUUUUUUUUAGUUGCUCUGUGUAGUGUGUAAUGACAUAUUUUAUGUUUUUUUUAGUUGCUCUGUGUAGUGUGUAAUGACAUAUUUUAUGUUUUUUUUAGCUGCUCUGUGUAGUGUGUAAUGACAUAUUUUAUGUUUUUUUUGUUGCUUUGUGUAGUGUGUAAUGACAUAUUUUAUGCUUUUUUGAGCUGCUGUGUGUAGUGUGUAAUGACAUAUUUUAUGUUUUUUGUGUUGCUUUGUGUAGUGUGUAAUGAUAUAUUUUAUGCUUUUUUGAGCUGCUCUGUGUAGUGUGUAAAGACAUAUUUUAUAUUUUUUUGAGCUGCUCUGUUUAGUGUGUAAUGACAUAUAUUAUGUUUUUUGUGUUGCUUUGUGUAGUGUGUAAUGACAUAUAUUAUGUUUUUUGUGUUGCUUUGUGUAGUGUGUAAUGACAUAUUUUAUGUUUUUUGUGUUGCUUUGUGUAGUUUAUAAUGACAUAUUUUAUGCUUUUUUUAGCUGCUCUGUGUAGUGUGUAAUGACAUAUUUAUGUGUUUUUGAGCUGCUCUGUGUAGUGUGUAACAAGUGAAACUGUGAGCUACUGCUCACUGAUGAUACCCCCCCCGCAAGUGGAUAAUAUUAAUAGUGUAAAAAUAUGCAAGUGUUCGGUAAACAGGAAGUUGUCGAGUGAUGAAUCUGAA
Molecule: long non-coding RNA, 1001 nt
Filed under: Mytilus galloprovincialis (Mediterranean mussel)
Lineage: Eukaryota; Metazoa; Mollusca; Bivalvia; Mytilida; Mytilidae
Source: RNAcentral